Long non-coding RNA from Astatotilapia calliptera (eastern happy), 1057 nucleotides. NCBI's taxonomy places the organism in Eukaryota, Metazoa, Chordata, Actinopteri, Cichliformes, Cichlidae. The record is from Ensembl.
AAACUAAGUUCUACUGAGGAUCGAUUGGAAAGGGUUUUUUGGAUAUCAACACUGCACACUUCAUUUCCCACAACAUAGGCCCUGCAUUUAAUUAUACCUCAUGGAAUGGUCUUAAUUUCAACUAUGUACAGUUAAUAGCUGCCAAUGCGAAGAUGACAGAUGCACAUCACUGUAAGGAAGAAAUGUUUAUUCCAACUCUCAAAAAAGUAUCUAACUAAAAUAAUAAUGGAUUGCAUUUAUAUAGCGCUUUUCGGGGCCCUCAAAGUGCUUUACAAUACCACUAUUCAUUCACUCUCACACACUGGUGGAGGCAGCUACAGGUGUAGCCACAGCUGCCCUGGGGCAGACUGACAGAGGUGAGGCUGCCAUAUCGCGCCAUCGGCCCUUCUGGCCACCACCAGUAGGUGGUAGGGUAAAGUGUCUUGCCCAAGGACACAACGACAGAGACUGUCCGAGCCGGGGCUCGAACCGGCAACCUUCCGAUUACAAGACGAACACCCAACUCUUGAGCCACGAUCGCCCUAAAAAAAAAAGAAAAGAAAAAAAAAAGGACUAGAAGGACAGAGAAAACUCGGCAACACAAUCCGAGGUUUUAGAUGUACGUUGGGUUAGUGACUCAUGGAAAAAUUUCCUUCGAAGACUUACUGAAGAGUGUGAGAAGUGGGUACUUAUAUUUUAAGACCUGCAGCAGGCAGGGAGGAGUUAUUGGUGCACACUUGCUUUGUCAAAGUCAAGAAGGUCUGUGGAAGGUCUUUUUCAAGUGUGACACUCAUUGCUGCAGACUAUUUACUCGCGCUUGUGCUUUUAUUUAUCGGGUGGUUCCACACCAUGAAUUAUCUAAUGUCUUAUGGACUGUAAAUUUCCCCAAUGCAGUCCUGCGCCCUUCCUGUACACUUAACUACAAACAUACGCAUGUGUGCACACAAGCCGAGCACAAUCACGAGACAAUCGAGGUCCUCCUCAGAUGACUCCCUCAAGUUUACAAAGUAUUAAGGCACCCGAACGCCACAUUUGUUUGCAAGGGGUAAGUGAUGGAAGCAUCUGCCGUAACAAACCC